AUGAAUCCUGGACAUCUCGUCGCCGGCGGCCGGUCUGCCCGGGCGAACCUCUCUUCUGCUGCGCCGCGACGCUGCCCGAGAAAAUCCCCAGGUGGCUCCUCGAUCUACCAUUUGUUGCCCCAUCUAACCUCCAACAUCUGCUUACGGCAGAGAAGAAACAUAGUGUCCCUCGAGUCUUCAGGAAUGCAGAUGCUCCUAACGGAAGAGGUCCUAACUCAGAAGGACUCAUUGUUUCAUCUGGAACGGCCAUUUCCUGGAACAAAAAGCAGGACAUGGCUGGAUGAAUAUGUUAAACAAACAUACCUUCUGUUUUUCUUGCAUCUUCUGGAUUCUUUUGCACUCUCGUUAUCUUUGGUCUUCGCAAUGCCAACUUGUUUACCUCGAUUAUUAUGA
This 393-nucleotide ribosomal RNA is filed under the name Triticum aestivum (bread wheat). RNAcentral's name for it is "partial small subunit ribosomal RNA". The record is from RNAcentral. Lineage: Eukaryota; Viridiplantae; Streptophyta; Magnoliopsida; Poales; Poaceae.